GGGGGGAGGCCGGAUCUUGGGCUGUGUCCCGGCGCCCUGUGCUCCGGGGCCUGCGCUGUUGGAUUCGCGCUCCCGCCCCGCAGCCCCCU
Molecule: microRNA precursor, 89 nt
Filed under: Canis lupus familiaris (dog)
Lineage: Eukaryota; Metazoa; Chordata; Mammalia; Carnivora; Canidae
Also listed under: 1 other name
Description: mir-8799 microRNA precursor family
Rfam family: mir-8799 microRNA precursor family
Source: Rfam by way of RNAcentral